UUAUCAGACUUGUAGCAAAGUUGUUCUAACAAGUCUGAUAUAGUCAUGAUAUAACAAGAAUGUUACAAGGCUGACGACACAAGCUUGAAACAGUAUUGUAAAAUCGUGGCUGUAUCGGACUUGUUGGAACAACCUUGCAACAAGCCUGAUAA
Molecule: non-coding RNA, 152 nt
Organism: Paramuricea clavata
Lineage: Eukaryota; Metazoa; Cnidaria; Anthozoa; Malacalcyonacea; Plexauridae
Source: the annotation of a GenBank genome assembly